CAUAAUACAUGCAAGUCACACGGGCCACGCAAGUGGCUAGUGGCGAACGGGUGAGUAACACGUGGAUGAUCUACCCUUAGAUCGGGAUAACUAGCCGAAAGGUUAGCUAAUACCGGGUAUGACCACGUCCAGUAUCGUCUGGAUGGGGUAAGAGCUGGGGACCGCAAGGGCCUAGCGCUUAAGGAUGAGUCCGCGGCUGAUUAGCUAGUUGGCGGGGUAAUGGCCCACCAAGGCGAGAUCAGUAGCCGGCCUGAGAGGGUGACCGGCCACAACUGGGACUGAGACACGGCCCAGACUCCUACGGGAGGCAGCAGUAGGGAAUUUUCCACAAUGGGCGAAAGCCUGAUGGAGCAACGCCGCGUGAGGGGAUGAAGGUUUUCGGAUCGUAAACCUCUUUGGAGCGGGAAGAACGGCUUUUGGGUGAAUAAUCCAAAAGGCGUGACGGUACCGUAGAACAAGACACGGGUUAAUUCGUGCCAGCAGCGCGGUAAUACGAGGGUGUCAAAGUUGUCCGGAAUUAUUGGGCGUAAAGGGCGCGUAGGGGGCCAAGUAAGUCAGAUGUGAAA
RNAcentral lists this ribosomal RNA (566 nucleotides) under uncultured bacterium. RNAcentral describes it as "bacterial SSU rRNA". It matches the Rfam family "Bacterial small subunit ribosomal RNA", at positions 47 to 599 of the family's 1533-position model. The record is from RNAcentral.